Molecule: long non-coding RNA, 807 nt
Filed under: Equus asinus (donkey)
Lineage: Eukaryota; Metazoa; Chordata; Mammalia; Perissodactyla; Equidae
Description: lncRNA (ENSEASG00005028139.1)
Source: RNAcentral
CCCAGUCUCACUCCAGCCUUCCACUGACCCUGGUCUUUCCUCUUCCCUCCCGCAGGCCUCUGCACUGAGGUUUACUACUUCACCGCCGGACAAAUCCUCUGGGGGGGACUGGCCCUGGCUGCACUGCUGCCCGGCUGCUUGGUGCAGGGCCUGAGCUUUCUGUGGUUCCGAGCAAAUGGACAUCAAGGUCAUUGCUUGUUGGUCAUGCUGCACGGCCUACAGCUUGGCGUGUGGAAGCGGAUCUUCGCUGGCACAGCAGGGCGGUGGUCCCAAGGUGAGCACAGAAGCAUCCAGCUGGCGUUUACCAUGCGGGGCCUCUGCUUCGUGCUCCUGACCUGCUUCAUCCUUUUUCCUCACUUUGCCACAGCCCAGGUCCAGGUUGUAGACUCAGAGAAGGAGUGCAAUAAAAGAGAGGCCGAGUGUAAAUGGUUUUACUGCCCAGAAAAUCAUGACCGUCUUGGCACCUGUUGGUUUGGGAUAAAGAAAUGCUGUCUGCGCCAGGAAUGAGCUGAAGAACAUGGGAGGACAAGGAGCCCGGAGAAUGAAAUAAAGGCCUGACUGUAACUCUGAAAGUGCUGUGGUAUUAUUUCCCAAAAGUAAAGAAAUGACCUGUGCUGUAUUUGAAAAAAGUGAUUAUUACAUGUGACGGUGUCUGGGAGAGACGUGUGUGUGGAAGCAGAGAGGGAACUGAGGCGUGCAAGGCGGGCCUAGGAGAGGGGAGGCCUGGCGUGCCUGAGAUGGGAGAUGCUUUUACAUGGAAAUGUUGGAGUUUCAGGUGUGUGCUGGAAGAGGGGAUUCAAGAUCCCU